AAUCAACGCUGGCGGCGUGCCUCAGACAUGCAAGUCGAACGAUUAAAGCUCUCUUCGGAGAGUGCAUAGAGUGGCGCACGGGUGAGUAACACGUAAGUAAUCUACCCUCGAGUGGGGAAUAACGUCCGGAAACGGACGCUAAUACCGCAUAAUGCAGCGGCACCGCAAGGUGACAGUUGUUAAAGAUUUAUCGCUUGAGGAGGAGCUUGCGGCAGAUAGCUAGUUGGUAAGGUAAUGGCUUACCAAGGCUACGAUCUGUAACCGGUCUUAGAGGACGGUCGGUCACACUGACACUGAAUAACGGGUCAGACUCCUAC
RNAcentral lists this ribosomal RNA (317 nucleotides) under uncultured bacterium. Its description in RNAcentral is "bacterial SSU rRNA". It matches the Rfam family "Bacterial small subunit ribosomal RNA", at positions 32 to 342 of the family's 1533-position model. The record is from RNAcentral.